This 408-nucleotide ribosomal RNA is filed under the name uncultured bacterium. RNAcentral's name for it is "partial 16S ribosomal RNA". It matches the Rfam family "Bacterial small subunit ribosomal RNA", at positions 29 to 526 of the family's 1533-position model. The record is from RNAcentral.
AGUGAACGCUAGCGGUGUGCCUUAUACAUGCAAGUCGAAGGCAGUGGCGCACGGGUGAGUAAUAUAUAGCUAAUCUGCCCCUUGCUGGAGGACAACAGUUAGAAAUGACUGCUAAUACUCCAUAGCAAGGGCUGGUACUAUAUCGUAUCAGCUAGUCGGUGGGGUAACGGCCGACCGAGGCUCUGACGGGUCACUGGUCUGAGAGGAUGAUCAGUAGCAUGGGAAGUGAGGCACGGUCCAAACUCCUACGGGGGGCAGCAGUAGGGAAUAUUGCGCAAUGGGGGAAACCCUUACGCAGCAACGCCGCAUGGAGGAUGACACUUUGCGGAGCGUAAACUCCUUUUGUUAGGGAAGCGGUACCUAACGAAUAAGCACCGGCUAACUCCGUGCCAGCAGCCGCGGUAAUAC